UGAGCAAUCUGCCCUUCUCUUCGGAAUAAGCGUUGGAAACGACGUCUAAUGCCGAAUACGACCUCCUUUCGCAUGAUCGGAGGUGGAAAGCUCCGGCGGAGAAGGAUGAGCUCGCGGCCUAUCAGCUAGUUGGUGUGGGUAACGGCCCACCAAGGCGACGACGGGUAGCCGGCCUGAGAGGGUGACCGGCCACACUGGGACUGAGACACGGCCCAGACCUCCGUACGGGAGGCAGCGUAGGG
RNAcentral lists this ribosomal RNA (242 nucleotides) under uncultured bacterium. RNAcentral describes it as "partial 16S ribosomal RNA". It matches the Rfam family "Bacterial small subunit ribosomal RNA", at positions 118 to 353 of the family's 1533-position model. The record is from RNAcentral.